AGAUUGAACGCUGGCGGCAUGCCUUACACAUGCAAGUCGAACGGUAACGCGGGGCAACCUGGCGACGAGUGGCGAACGGGUGAGUAAUGCAUCGGAACGUGCCCAAUAGUGGGGGAUAGCUCGGCGAAAGCCGGAUUAAUACCGCAUACGACCUACGGGUGAAAGGCGGGGAUCGCAAGACCUCGCGCUAAUGGAGCGGCCGAUGUCAGUAUUAGGUUGUUGGUAGGGUAAAACGCCUAACCAAGCCGACGAUCUGUAGCUGGUCUGAGAGGACGACCAGCCACACUGGGACUGAGACACGGCCCAGACUCCUACGGGAGGCAGCAGUGGGGAAUUUGGACAAUGGGGCACCGUGAUCCAGCCAUGCCGCGUGCGGAAGAAGGCCUUCGGGUUGUAAACCGUCUUUGUCGAGGUAAGAACGCUCCAAGCUAAGUACCGUUGGUAAGUGAACGGUACC
This 457-nucleotide ribosomal RNA is filed under the name uncultured soil bacterium. RNAcentral describes it as "bacterial SSU rRNA". It matches the Rfam family "Bacterial small subunit ribosomal RNA", at positions 26 to 479 of the family's 1533-position model. The record is from RNAcentral.